UCGUCAGAUCAACGCUGGCGGCGUGCCUAACACAUGCAAGUCGAACGAGAAAGGGACUUCGGUCCUGAGUAAAGUGGCGCACGGGUGAGUAACACGUGACUAACCUACCCUUGAGUGGGGAAUAACUAGGAGAAAUCUUAGCUAAUACCGCAUAAUACCUACGGGUCAAAGGAGCAAUUCGCUUAAGGAGGGGGUCGCGGCAGAUUAGUUAGUUGGCGGGGUAAUGGCCCACCAAGACAGUGAUCUGUAUCCGGCCUGAGAGGGCGCACGGACACACUGGAACUGAAACACGGUCCAGACUCCUACGGGAGGCAGCAGUGGGGAAUUUUGCGCAAUGGGGGAAACCCUGACGCAGCAACGCCGCGUGGAGGAUGAAGUCCCUUGGGACGUAAACUCCUUUCGAUCGGGACGAUAAUGACGGUACCGAGAGAAGAAGCCCCGGCUAACUUCGUGCCAGCAGCCGCGGUAAUACGAGGGGGGCGAGCGUUGUUCGGAAUUAUUGGGCGUAAAGGGUGCGUAGGCGGUUCGGUAAGUCUUGUGUGAAAUCUUCGGGCUCAACUCGAAGUCUGCACCAGAAACUGCCGGGCUUGAGUAUGGGAGAGGUGAGUGGAAUUUCCGGUGUAGCGGUGAAAUGCGUAGAUAUCGGAAGGAACACCUGUGGCGAAAGCGGCUCACUGGACCAUAACUGACGCUGAUGCACGAAAGCUAGGGGAGCAAACAGGAUUAGAUACCCUGGUAGUCCUAGCCCUAAACGAUGAUCGCUUGGUGUGACGGGUACCCAAUCCCGCCGUGCCGAAGCUAACGCGUAAGCGAUCCGCCU
RNAcentral lists this ribosomal RNA (820 nucleotides) under Acidipila sp. Its description in RNAcentral is "bacterial SSU rRNA". It matches the Rfam family "Bacterial small subunit ribosomal RNA", at positions 21 to 874 of the family's 1533-position model. Lineage: Bacteria; Pseudomonadati; Acidobacteriota; Terriglobia; Terriglobales; Acidobacteriaceae. The record is from RNAcentral.